Labeo rohita (rohu) is the source of this 5200-nucleotide long non-coding RNA. RefSeq lists it as uncharacterized. NCBI's taxonomy places the organism in Eukaryota, Metazoa, Chordata, Actinopteri, Cypriniformes, Cyprinidae. The transcript has 7 exons. The record is from RefSeq and is a predicted model, not a curated record.
ACAGUCUAAGAGGAGUUUGAAAAAGUAGGUUUUCAACAUUAAAUGGCGGACAGGAUGUUUGGCCAAUACUUCAUAAUGGGUAUCAAUGUUCUCGGUAUUACCCAAGGAAUCUAUUGAGAUCACUUCAUUACAAAAGUCUAAUGUAAGCAGAAGUUAUUAACAUUUUUGUAAAUUUCUUUAGAACUUUUGGCCACAAGGUGGCGCUGCCCCCAAACUUUUUGAGUACUAUCAGAGCAUGGUGCCAAAGACACAAACCGAGUUUCGUAACGAUAUGUCAAUGCGUUCGUAAAAUAUAGCAUUUUUGGACAAAAUUCAAUAUGGCUGACAGCCAAAAUGGCUGACAUGGGAAAAUUGGGUAUGGUUGGAUUCGGCAUUAUGCACCGAAUUUUAAGAGACCUUUUGUGAUUUUUGGCCAAACUAUUGAGAAGUUAUAAGCAAAAAUAAGCAUUUUUCAUAUCUCCUGACCACUAGGUGGCACUGCGACAAAACGCUGCAGGUAGCCUCAGGUCAUGCUUAUUAUUACACACACAAAGUUUGGUAAUAUGCCAAACCUUUGCAGAGAUAAAGCCUCACAACCAUUUUUGCGUGUUUUUUUGUAGAAUUUCAACGCGUGUUAUUCGACAACGGAUUGACUAAUCAACUUGAAUUCCAUAACUUUUUGCCAGCAUGGUCUAAAGAUGAUCUGAGCCAAUUUCAGUAAAAAUCAGAGAAAAAGUAGGUUUUACAAACAAAUAUUUAUAGAAAAAAACUAAACCUUACGAUUUUUGAAUUUUGGACUUCAUUCGACUCGGCAUGCGCCAAGGAUUUUGAAGAAAUUAUGGUUUUUGAGGAAAGCAUUUCAGGAUUUUUCUCCAUAUAAUGGACUUCAUUGGUGCCCCUAUUUUGAACUUCCAAAAUGCAGUUUAAAUGCAGCUUCAAAUGAUCCCAAAUGCGGUUGUAAACGAUCCCAGCCAAAAAAGAAGGGUCUUAUCUAGUGGAUCUUAUCUAAUUUUCUGAUCGACGGCCAUCUUGUUUUCCCGCAUCGAGACCGUGGCUGACACGCGAUUCCACAAUAUCGGAGUAAUUAUACAAAUAACUUUGAUUUUAUUGUUAUUACAGUUGAUAUAUGUAUAUGAUGAAGUUGACUGCUUAAUGGGUGUUUUCACACAGGUAACAUGUAGAGGCAUGUACAUAAAUCCACGCACCUUUCAUUAGGCGGAUUGUAUAAAGUUAUUGACAUUUUAUAGCGAUUAAAAAGCAUCCAUAAAAAUAAAAAAUAAAGAGCUUGAUACAUUAAAAGCGAUAUUAGCCGCGAAACCUAACUUAAAUCGUUCAUCUCAGAACAGCAGUAUUAAUGAGGUAUUAACUCAAUUAAUGAGGUAAAGACAUUUAUUAUUUUAAAACAUUUGGUUAGUUUAUUUAGUUGUAUUUCUCAUUACUGUUAAGCCCAUUUGUGUUAUUGUUCUAUUGCAUUUUUUGGUCCUGUUACUGCCCAAAUAGUACUGUUUACUUGUCUAUGUUUCAUUUUCCUUUAAUCCAGAUGGUAAUGGCUUGUUUUUUUUUGUUUGUUUUUUUUCUUUAGGAAAGACAUUUUUAAUGAUUUUUCUUAACAGUUUGGAGAUGUAAUCGAGUUACAGGACAACUACACAUACCAGCCAGUAUCCGGACAAUUCCUAAGCAAUAUAUACAUGUUCAAGCUGCAAGGGAAGACCAAAGGAAGGCCUGUCAUGGGAUUUGAAUUUGGCCAUAUUGUGCGUUCACGGAGAACACCAAAAGCUGCAAAGGCAAACAUUUCCAAUGCUGAAGACCAAAAACACAAAGAAAAUCAGUUACAGCUAGCAAGUCAAACCAGUCCUGAUGAAUAAGGAAUGAACAUGAGCCCAAACAGAAAAAGACAAAGAGCUGGAAAGUUGCACAUUUCCAUUGCUCCUAGAAUGAGCAGAUCAACUGUGCCAUUAUCUUUGGAAUUUGGGCAGGAAAUGACCGAAUAUGGAGGAUAAAGCCAGUUGAUGAAGAUAUCAAUUCAACGGCCACCAAGUUCAGCACUGCAGCCUGAACCCAUCAGAACAUCUACACCAGGUCAGAGACUCCAGCCACCCAAGCUAUGGACUCCUCUUACCGUUACCUUCAGGCAGAUGUUAUCGCAGAACCUUCACAAGCAGACUGCAAGACAAGUUCUUUCCACAGGCAAUCAGACUGAACUGAACUCGUACCAGUAACACCACACACAGCACAUCAACCUCAUAUGUACUGCACUCUAUCAUUUACACUGACUGGAUUCUGACUCACUAUUAUUCUGUACCCUGACAUUCGUUUGCACAAAUUCAUACUGUACUGCACUGCAAUGGUAUAUUUGUACUGUAAUUAUUAGGGCCUGAGCACUGCAGUGCGAGGACCCUAUUGGAAUUGCUCCGUUUAUUAUUAUUCUUCCGCUUCUUCUUCUUCUCCAAAGUGAAAAGUCUUUUUGAGGGCCUAAACAUGCUCGAAAACUCACGAAACUUUGCGCACACAUCAGACCUGGCGAAAAUUUACAUCUGAUAUGGUUUUCAGAAGUGGGUGUGGCAAAAUGGCUCGAUAGCGCCGCCUAUAAAAUUUCAACGGAGUGCGCCUCAAACUACGUUUCACGUACAUGUACGAAACUCGGUACACACAUGUAACACACCAAUACCUACAAAAAAAGUCUCCUGGCACAACAUCCAAAACCCAACAGGAAGUCCGUUAUAUUGAAUUUCCUGUAUGAUUUUUGUGCAGUUUUUGCCAUUUUCAGGCCUCGUACUUUAACAAACUCCUACAGUUUUAAUCCGAUCAUCUUCAGAUUUGCUGAGUGUUAUCAUAAGGCCUUUGCGAUGCUAAAUUGCGAAGAUCUAGAGUUUUCGUCAAGGGGCAUGUCCCUGGCAGCCUGACAAAUUUCGAUGUUUCGCCAUGAAAAAGGAAGUUGCUGUAACUCAGGCAAACAAUGUCCGAUCUGCCUCAAACUUCACACGUUUGAUAACAGUCAGGUCCUGAACACAUGUCAGUGCCCAUAUUCAGUUACAGUCAUAGCGCCACCUGCUGACAACAGGAAGUGACAUGUUUAACACUGUUAUGGACUCCUAGCAACAUAUUAAAAAGCGUUAGCAAGUUUUAAAUAGGCUAGCAACAUGCUAGAAUCAUGCUAAAACAUGCUAGCAACACUUAGCUAAGAGCUAAAACAUGAUAUUAAUACAAAGAAAAAGGGAAUUGCUGUAACUCAUGCAUACAAUGUCCAAUCUGCCCCAAACUUAAUAUUCAACAUGCUACAAACAUAGUAAAGCAUGCUAGCAACACUUAGCUAAUAUGCUAAAGCAUGCUAAUAAUACAAUGAAACAGGAAGUUACUGUAACUCAGGCAUACAAUGUCCAAUCAGCCCCAAACUUAACAUGUUUCAUAAAAGCCCUGGUCUGAACACAUGCCCAUGCCCAUAUUCAGUUAUAGUCAUAGCUCCACCUGCUGGCAACAGGAAGUGACAUGUUUAAUACUAUGGAUGGAUGCCUAGCAACAUUUUUAAAAGCAUCAACAAGUGUUAAAUAGGGUAACAACAUGUUAGAAAUAUGCUAAAACAUGUUAGCAACACUUAGCUAAGUGCUAAAGCAUGUUAUUAAUGCAGUGAAACAGAAAGUUACUGUAACUCAGGCAUGCAAUGUCUAAUCAGCCCAAACUUAACAGGUUUGAUAAGAGUCCUGGCCUGAACACAUUUACGUGUUAAUAUUCAGUUAUAGUCAUAGCACCACCUAUUGUCAACAGAAAGUGACGUUUAACACUGUGAUACACUAUUAGCAACACACUAAAAUAAGCCAUUGAGUGCUAAACUUGCUAAAAACACACUCAAACAUGCUAGCAACACUUACUAAGUGCUAAAGCAUGUUGUUAAAGCCAUGAAACAAGAACCUUGUUGUAAUUCAUGCAAACAAUGUCCAAUCUGCCCCAAACUUCACAUGUUUGAUAAGAGUCCUGGCCUGAAGAUAUCUACAUGCCCAUAUUCGGUUAUAGUCAUAGCGCCACCUGCUGGCAACCGGUAGUGACAUGUUUAACACUGUGAUGGACUAUUAAAAGCACAGCAAAAUAUGCCAUAUUGUGCUAAACAUGCUAGAAACACUAAGUGCUAAUGCAUGCUAUUAAUGCCAUGAAAGAGGAAGUUGUUGUAACUCAGCCAUACAAUGUCCGAUCCAAACUUCACAUGUUCGAUAAGAGUCCUGGCCUGAACACAUCUAAUGGCCAAUAUUCCAUUGCAAUCAUAGCGCCACCUGCUGGCAACAGCAAAUUACUUGUUUUACACUAACUUAAACAUGCAAUGUCCAAUCUGCCCCAAACUUCAGAUGUUCAAUAAGAGUCCUGGCCUGAACACAUCUAAAGGCCAAUAUUCCAUUGCAAUCAUAGCGCCACCUGCUGGCAACUGCAAAUUACUUUUUUUUACACUAACUUAAACAUGCAAUGUCCAAUUUGCACCAAACUUUGAUAUGUUUGGCAAGAGUCCUGGCCUGAACACAUCUAAAGGCCAAUAUUCCGUUAUAAUAAUAGCGCCACCUGUUGGCAGCAGGAUAUGUCACGUCUUACACUAACUCAAGCAUGCCAUGUUCAAUCUGCACCAAACUUCGUAUGUUUGAUAAAAGUGCUGGCCUGAACACAUCUACAUGCCAAUAUUCAGUUACAGGCAUAGCACCACCAGCUGGCAGCUGGAAAUUUUGCACAUUUAAAUGACUUUAUAUUCCUCCUAUGUUUACUAUAUUAAAAGCAUAUGGCCCACCAUUCGCUGUUUCCCUAAAGCCACCAGUCGGUGGUGAGCCCGGGUGCGAGGGCCCUUUCAUCGCUGCUUGCAGCUUUAAUUGUGUAUAUUACUGUUUUAAUCUCUUGCUCUCUGUAUAGUAUAAUAUUUACCGUAUGUUGUUCUUUAGCUGUAUUGAGUCCCUUAUAUAUGUGUGUUGCAUAUAUAUUCAAUACUUGUCAUCCGUACUGUCGUGCUGCAGUUUGCACGACCUUUCACGACCUGUACAUUUACAUUCUUAAUAUUGUUGUAAAUAAAGUGAUUUGAUUUGAAUUGGUCACAUGUCUUUUGUUCGUCAGUUGUACUGUAGGGUGCUGCAUAACAGCUGCAAAUUAAGUCAUGGAAGAAGAAGAUUAUAACAUGGACAUGGACAAGCAAGCAAGAUGAAGAAAACCAGGAGAGCUCUGAUAAUGAGCAGGAAACUGAAUGUGAUUCUAUGAU